GGAAAAUGAUCCAUUUUUCCCUUGAACCAGAACGAACUAUGAAGAAAAGAUGAAGACAAAAUAGCUCUAAGAUCUCUUCUCACUCUCUCUCUCUCUCUCUUUUUUGGUGCGAUCCCGUCUCUCUCUCUCUCAAUCAUUGUGAAAUCCUUUGGUGAGUACAGAGAAAGAGGAAUUAAGCAAAUAACCUUGAAGAAUUGCACAAGAUAAUUCAUGCUGUCAUCUGUGCUGAUCUCACAGUGAAGAAAUCUGAUAAAGAACCACCCCAGGACACUAUAAACGUUUAUGGUACACCUCCCCGCACUUCUUUGAUCAAAAAUUCAAAACCCACCACUUAUUGGUCGAACAUUUUCUCAAGGCUUUACAAUUUUUGUUUCAAUCUUUUAUUGCUAUUUUAUUUUUUGAUUGCAGGCCCCAUUUUAGGUCAUUCCCCCCCCCCCCCCCCCUUUUUUUUUUUUGUGAGAAAAGACUAAAAGAACCAUAUUAAUGGUAGUGAAUAGAGAAACGAUAAAAAUAAACAAGCAGCAUCCCAUUUACUAUUUCAUUCUUGCUAAAACUUAUAUGUUUUCUUAAAGUUUAAAUUUUUGUGAGGUUGAUAAUGAUUGAAUGUUAUCUGGUCUUGUGUUUGAAUGUCUUAACAUUAUAUAAUGUUGUCUAGCAGAGAAGAUAUUUAGUUUAAAUCCUAAGCAAAUACCUACAUAUUUAAUUUUGCCUAACAUAUGUGUUGGAAGUGGAGUGAGAAGAUGGAAGUGAGGAAGAGACUGAGAGACUUAGAAGUGAAAAAAGGUCCUGGGCACAGUUGGAUCGAGCUUAACAAUAGAGUUCAUGGAUUUUCUGUUGGAGAUAAAACUCAUCCUCAUUAUACCAUGAUAGAUGCAAUUUUGGAGUCCCAUGAAGAUUCUCCCCGGGUCUUAUUCCACGCCUAAUGAUGAAAAGGGAGUCGGCGUGGUGUAAAGUGAAGAUUGAGGGAAGUAAAGUAAAAUUCCCUUCUGGGGUAUUCCGUAGCUACCAUUUCACUAGCUCUAGUAUUCACUGGCUUUCAAGGAAUGGAAUAUUAUCAAGCACCCUUCACUAUUUUCGAUAGUAUUCAUGGUUCUACCUUUUUCUUAGCAACUGGCUUUCAUGGUUUUCAUGUGAUUAUAGGUAAUCUUUUCUUGAUCGUAUGUGGUAUUCGCCAAUAUCUUGAUCAACUGUGAACUAGUGAGUCAAAAUUACUUGUGUCUGUUAAGCUACCAUGUAGCUGCAUUGUCAAAGUUCUCUAUAUCGAUCUUUGUUCUCUUUUUGCAGAAAGAAUAAUAUAUAGAUAUGUGCAGGAUGUAAACCUCACCAUAUGCAUAUGGGACAUGAAAGACUCUUGUUCAACUUAAAGAAGCUCACAUAUAAAGAAAGGAAGAACCAGUUAAUUGAAAGAUUGACUAAAUUUAGGCAGUGGCAUAAAUUUUCAAAGAUAAUGCACAUGCCGUAUAGAGAAACCUAGCUUUCCUUGUGUCCAUGCAAUUGCAGCAUGUAAGCAUCGACAUAUUUCUCCAUAUAUCCUUUGCUCGGUGCAUUACUUAGUUGACUCACUCCAUGACGCAUAUUCGGAAACCAUAUAUCCACUUGAAGAUAAAUGUCAGUGGCAUGCUCUAGAUAAUGUCAUAAACCAGCUUGUACUUCCACCUAAGAUUGGCAAACAGUCAGGAAGACCAAGAAAGAAGAGGAUUCAAUCUCAAGGAGAGGAGCAUCAACAAGAUAGAUGAGGGAGGUGCAAACAGAUUGGUCACAGCAGCUGAUCAUGCUCAGCCAUCAUACCUCUUGAUAGCACUACCAACCAAUAGCACCAUUCAACUGAAGGACCAUAAAUCGCUCUAUGCUAUAUUAAGACAAUGGGGGCAUGUUAUGUAACGUGUGUUUUAGCAUAAUAGACGUUGGUUUUAUGUGUUGUUUUGUUGGAAAAGUCAUAUGUCGUAUUGUGUUGAUAAAAUAUCAAUGACCCUAAACAGAAAAAACUCCAAAAGUUUGGAAAAAGUUCUCA
This is a long non-coding RNA of Ziziphus jujuba (common jujube), 2011 nucleotides long. RefSeq lists it as uncharacterized. The record is from RefSeq and is a predicted model, not a curated record. Lineage: Eukaryota; Viridiplantae; Streptophyta; Magnoliopsida; Rosales; Rhamnaceae. The transcript is spliced from 4 exons.